This 389-nucleotide long non-coding RNA is filed under the name Sinocyclocheilus anshuiensis. RNAcentral describes it as "lncRNA (ENSSANG00000030221.1)". The record is from RNAcentral. Lineage: Eukaryota; Metazoa; Chordata; Actinopteri; Cypriniformes; Cyprinidae.
UGGAUCUUUUCCCAGUAAUCAGAUAUCAUCUGAGAGGAAUGACCCUUGAGUCCAGCAAUCUUGGAACUCUGAUCGUGCAAAACAACCUUCAUUCUUUCUCUUCUCCCCCAAAGAGAUGUAUAUAUUGUGUUCUGUGCAAGCAAUCCAGUGCGGUUCACUGUUCCCAGCAGAGCCUCUGUUUCCUCCUCGACACAUGCCCGGAGACAGGAGAGCCAAUCAGAGAGAGCGAGGGAGGGGCCUCUGCACCAUAUGUUGAACCAAGCUGGUUUCCUGAACAACCACACAGCUCUAGGCCGGAUGUCUCAUGUCACACAGUUCUCUCUGUGCACUAGGCCAGCUGUGCCCUUUCCUGCCCUCUUGGCUUCUCCCCUUGUUUUGCAAUAAAGGUG